Molecule: ribosomal RNA, 1542 nt
Filed under: Dalmatolacerta oxycephala (sharp-snouted rock lizard)
Lineage: Eukaryota; Metazoa; Chordata; Lepidosauria; Squamata; Lacertidae
Description: partial large subunit ribosomal RNA
Rfam family: Bacterial large subunit ribosomal RNA
Source: RNAcentral
GCCAAAAUAACUAAACAACUAUAUAUACAAAACAUCAAACCAAUUUAACCAAAACAUUUGCCCCGGCCAGUAAAUGCGAUUAAACACCACAACCGUCUUAUUAGUACCGUAAGGGAACAAUGAAAGAAAAAUGAAAAAUUUUAAGCACUACACAGCAAAGAUUUAACCCUGUACCUCCUGCAUCAUGGUCUAGCAAAACCACCUCAGACAAAGAGAACCUUUAGCCUGCCCACCCGAAACCAAACGAGCUAUUUUUGGGCAGCAUCAUACUAGAGCGCACCCGUCCCUGUAGCAAAAGGGUGGGAAGACCUAAAAAUAGAGGCGAAAAGCCAAUCGAGCUUGGUGAUAGCUGGCUACUCAACAAAGAACUUUAGUUCAACUUUAGGCAUAAAUAGGCCCACAUUCACAAGCCCCCCCCCACACCUAAAGAAAAUCAAUGGGGGUACAGCCCCAUUGAACCGGGGUACAACCCGAACUGAGAGAAAAAUUUUUCCCCUCCCUCCAGUGGGCUUCAAAGCAGCCACCAAAUAACCGCGUUAUAGCACUUUAAUUUAACAAUCCCAACAACUUAUUUAUUCUCCAAACUGUCACCACGAGUUAUACUAUAAUUAUAUAGCAACACUAAUGCUAAAAUUAGUAAUAAGAAAUAGUUACUUCUCUCCGCACCCCUAUAAAUCAGAAUAGAAAAACUACUGAUAAUUAACAAACAAACACGACCUCUUAUUUUCCUAGCCCAAGGUCUUCCAACUUGUUACCCCGACACAGGCGUGCAAUAAAGAAAGGUUAAAAGCCACAAAAGGAACUCGGCAAUAACUUAGUCUCAACUGUUUACCAAAAACAUAGCCUUUAGCCCAACAAGUAUUAAAGGUACCGCCUGCCCAGUGACUAUUUAAACGGCCGCGGUAUCCUAACCGUGCAAAGGUAGCAUAAUCACUUGUCCUCUAAAUCAGGACUGGAAUGAACGGCUAAAUGAGGACUAAACUGUCUCUUGUGGUCCACCAAUGAAAUUGAUCUCCCAGUACAAAAGCUGGGAUAAACCCAUAAGACGAGAAGACCCUGUGGAGCUUUUAAAACUAAGCCCAUACAACAUGUCCUCUUGAGUUUUUAGUUGGGGCGACUUUGGAGUACAAAAAAACCUCCAUAAAUGAUUAACUUAUCCUAUUAAGAUCAACACACCAAAACAACCAUAUAAGACCCAGCAACUUACCUCUGUUGUCUGACUAAUGAACCAAGUUACCCCAGGGAUAACAGCGCUAUUCCCUUCUAGAGUCCCUAUCGACAAGGGAGUUUACGACCUCGAUGUUGGAUCAGGACACCCCAAUGGUGCAGCCGCCAUAAAAGGUUCGUUUGUUCAACGAUUAAAGUCCUACGUGAUCUGAGUUCAGACCGGAGAAAUCCAGGUCGGUUUCUAUCUAUGCGGCACUAUCCUCAGUACGAAAGGACCAAGAUAGCAGGACCAAUAUUCUAGAAACGUCCAAAUUUAAUUUACUGAUUACUACUAAAGUAAUAAAUAUGCCACCACACCAAACCUAAAACAGGUUU